CUUGUGUCUAAUUUAAAGAGGGACUAUCACUUCUCUUGAAAUACCCUGUAUCUAUUUUUUUUACAUUGUUUUACAUAAUGCUCUGUGUUUUUUUCCCCACCAUAGAAAUCUAUAAUAGGCAGAGUUUAUGAUAAUUAGUAAUUCAAAUAAGUAAGGAAUCACCGUAGGGACCAGUUAUUACAACAUUAAUUAAAGUAACUCUGUCACUCCAAACUUACAUUUCUCCAAUUGUUUCCUCUACUGUUUUUUUUUUCUUGUAAAAUACCUA
Molecule: non-coding RNA, 268 nt
Organism: Pelobates cultripes (western spadefoot toad)
Lineage: Eukaryota; Metazoa; Chordata; Amphibia; Anura; Pelobatidae
Source: the annotation of a GenBank genome assembly